This 460-nucleotide ribosomal RNA is filed under the name uncultured Bacteroidota bacterium. RNAcentral describes it as "bacterial SSU rRNA". It matches the Rfam family "Bacterial small subunit ribosomal RNA", at positions 338 to 795 of the family's 1533-position model. Lineage: Bacteria; Pseudomonadati; Bacteroidota. The record is from RNAcentral.
CCUACGGGUGGCUGCAGUGAGGAAUAUUGGUCAAUGGGCGCAAGCCUGAACCAGCCAUCCCGCGUGCAGGAAGAAGGCGCUAUGCGUCGUAAACUGCUUUUCCGGGGGAAGAAAUUUAUAUACGAGUAUAUAAUUGCCGGUACCCCGGGAAUAAGCAUCGGCUAACUCCGUGCCAGCAGCCGCGGUAAUACGGAGGAUGCGAGCGUUAUCCGGAUUUAUUGGGUUUAAAGGGUGCGUAGGCGGAUUAAUAAGUCAGUGGUGAAAACCUGCAGCUUAACUGUAGAAUUGCCAUUGAUACUGUUAGUCUUGAGUACGGUCAAGGUAGGCGGAAUGUGUAAUGUAGCGGUGAAAUGCUUAGAUAUUACACAGAACACCGAUUGCGAAGGCAGCUUACUGGGCCAUUACUGACGCUGAUGCACGAAAGCGUGGGGAGCGAACAGGAUUAGAUACCCCUGUAGUC